RNAcentral lists this ribosomal RNA (422 nucleotides) under uncultured bacterium. RNAcentral's name for it is "bacterial SSU rRNA". It matches the Rfam family "Bacterial small subunit ribosomal RNA", at positions 355 to 774 of the family's 1533-position model. The record is from RNAcentral.
UGAGGAAUAUUGGGCAAUGCCCGCAAGGGUGACCCAGCAACGCCGCGUGGAGGAUGAAUGUCGUAAGAUUGUAAACUCCUGUUAGAGGGGAAGAAUAGUACCGGUUGGACCGGUAUAUGACUGUACCCUCAGAGAAAGCCCCGGCUAACUACGUGCCAGCAGCCGCGGUAAUACGUAGGGGGCAAGCGUUGUCCGGAUUUACUGGGUGUAAAGGGCGCGCAGGCGGGAUAAAAAGUCAGUGGUGAAAUCCUACAGCUUAACUGUCGAACUGCCUUUGAUACUUUUAUUCUUGAGUUCGGGAGAGAGAGACGGAAUUCCAGGUGUAGUGGUGAAAUACGUAGAUAUCUGGAAGAACACCAGUUGCGAAGGCGGUCUCUUGGUCCGACACUGACGCUGAGGCGCGAAAGCGUGGGGAGCAAACA